Molecule: ribosomal RNA, 974 nt
Filed under: uncultured fungus
Lineage: Eukaryota; Fungi
Description: eukaryotic LSU rRNA
Rfam family: Eukaryotic large subunit ribosomal RNA (bases 639-974)
Source: RNAcentral
GGAAAAGGGAGGCAAAGGGGCCUACAGGGCUAGUAGCUUAUACGUUGUUGAACGUCCUGCCUGGACCCGGAGCCGCCCCCAUCUAAACCCUCUGCGUACCUGUCCCUUCUUGCUUCCCCCGGCAUCUCGUCGGGGGGAGGUAACAACCAAAACUCUCUGUGAAUCAAACAGCCGUCAGAAUUAUAAAACAAACAAAAGUUAAAACUUUCAACAACGGAUCUCUUGGUUCCCACAUCGAUGAAGAACGCAGCGAAAUGCGAUAAGUAAUGUGAAUUGCAGAAUUCAGUGAAUCAUCGAAUCUUUGAACGCACAUUGCGCCCCCUGGUAUUCCGGGGGGCAUGCCUGUUCGAGCGUCAUAAAAACCUCCUCCCCCUUCGGGUUUUGUUACUAUCGUUGGGGGGUUUUGGCCUAAUGGGGAUAGCGAUUGGCAAUUCGUUUCCCAAUGUCCUAAAUAGACGUAGACCCGCCUCCAGAUGCGACAGCACCGAGGCCAUCAACCGUGGGGUUAUGGGAUAUAAUAGGCUUGCAGUAAAAUGCUCACCUCUCUCCACACGCCGAUGGCACGACAGUUGCAGUUGCGGGCGUAAAUUGGAGCCCUUUUCAGGACCCUUGUGGCCUAGCAUCCACCAUGCAUAAUUUGACCUCGGAUCAGGUAGGGAUACCCGCUGAACUUAAGCAUAUCAAUAAGCGGAGGAAAAGAAACCAACAGGGAUUGCCUCAGUAACGGCGAGUGAAGCGGCAAAAGCUCAAAUUUUAAAGCUGACAUCUUCGGUGUCCGCGUUGUAAUUUUGUGAGGCAUCUCCGGGUAGGGCGCCGGCCUAAGUUCCUUGGAACAGGACGUCACAGAGGGUGAGAAUCCCGUGCUUGGCUGGCUGUCCCCGUCCAUGUGAGGUGUCUUCGACGAGUCGAGUUGUUUGGGAAUGCAGCUCAAAAUGGGUGGUAAAUUUCAUCUAAAGCUAAAUAUUGGUGGGAGA